CUGGCUCAGAUUGAACGCUGGCGGCAGGCCUAACACAUGCAAGUCGAGCGGAUGAAGGGAGCUUGCUCCUGGAUUCAGCGGCGGACGGGUGAGUAAUGCCUAGGAAUCUGCCUGGUAGUGGGGGAUAACGUCCGGAAACGGGCGCUAAUACCGCAUACGUCCUGAGGGAGAAAGUGGGGGAUCUUCGGACCUCACGCUAUCAGAUGAGCCUAGGUCGGAUUAGCUAGUUGGUGGGGUAAAGGCCUACCAAGGCGACGAUCCGUAACUGGUCUGAGAGGAUGAUCAGUCACACUGGAACUGAGACACGGUCCAGACUCCUACGGGAGGCAGCAGUGGGGAAUAUUGGACAAUGGGCGAAAGCCUGAUCCAGCCAUGCCGCGUGUGUGAAGAAGGUCUUCGGAUUGUAAAGCACUUUAAGUUGGGAGGAAGGGCAGUAAGUUAAUACCUUGCUGUUUUGACGUUACCAACAGAAUAAGCACCGGCUAACUUCGUGCCAGCAGCCGCGGUAAUACGAAGGGUGCAAGCGUUAAUCGGAAUUACUGGGCGUAAAGCGCGCGUAGGUGGUUCAGCAAGUUGGAUGUGAAAUCCCCGGGCUCAACCUGGGAACUGCAUCCAAAACUACUGAGCUAGAGUACGGUAGAGGGUGGUGGAAUUUCCUGUGUAGCGGUGAAAUGCGUAGAUAUAGGAAGGAACACCAGUGGCGAAGGCGACCACCUGGACUGAUACUGACACUGAGGUGCGAAAGCGUGGGGAGCAAACAGGAUUAGAUACCCUGGUAGUCCACGCCGUAAACGAUGUCGACUAGCCGUUGGGAUCCUUGAGAUCUUAGUGGCGCAGCUAACGCGAUAAGUCGACCGCCUGGGAGACGCCU
This 871-nucleotide ribosomal RNA is filed under the name Pseudomonas aeruginosa. RNAcentral describes it as "bacterial SSU rRNA". It matches the Rfam family "Bacterial small subunit ribosomal RNA", at positions 19 to 887 of the family's 1533-position model. Lineage: Bacteria; Pseudomonadati; Pseudomonadota; Gammaproteobacteria; Pseudomonadales; Pseudomonadaceae. The record is from RNAcentral.